GGCCGGGUUGGGUGGUCUUGCCGCAAGGUAAGCACUGCUCCGAUCUGGUCUUUCCUUCUGGGGAACCAAUGUGCUCUUAACUGAGUGCGUUGGGGAUCCAGGACUUUUACUUUGAAAAAAUUAGAGUGUUUAAAGCAGGCCUACGCUUGAAUACAUUAGCAUGGAAUAAUGAAAUAGGAC
RNAcentral lists this ribosomal RNA (180 nucleotides) under uncultured Glomeromycotina. RNAcentral's name for it is "partial small subunit ribosomal RNA". The stretch from base 90 to 180 matches the Rfam family "Eukaryotic small subunit ribosomal RNA", at positions 735 to 828 of the family's 1831-position model. Lineage: Eukaryota; Fungi; Glomeromycota. The record is from RNAcentral.